GACGGGGGCCCGCACAAGCGGAGGAACAUGUGGUUUAAUUCGAUGAUACGCGAGGAACCUUACCCGGGCUUGAACUGCAGGAGAACGAUUCAGAGAUGAUGAGGUCCUUCGGGACUCCUGUGGAGGUGCUGCAUGGUUGUCGUCAGCUCGUGCCGUGAGGUGUCGGCUUAAGUGCCAUAACGAGCGCAACCCCUUUCGUUAGUUGCCAUCAGGUGAUGCUGGGCACUCUGGCGAUACUGCCACCGUAAGGUGUGAGGAAGGUGGGGAUGACGUCAAAUCAGCACGGCCCUUACGUCCGGGGCUACACACGUGUUACAAUGGGUGGUACAGAGAGUGGGUCGUCUGCAAAUGCGAUCAAAUCCUAAAAGCCAUCCUCAGUUCGGAUUGGGGUCUGCAACCCGACCCCAUGAAGCUGGAUUCGCUAGUAAUCGCGCAUCAGCCAUGGCGCGGUGAAUACGUUCCCGGGCCUUGUACACACCGCCCGUCAAGCCAUGAAAGCCGGGGGCGCUUGAAGUCCGUGACCGCAAGGAUCGGCCUAGAGCGAAACUGGUAAUUGGGGCUAAGUCGUAACAAGGGUGCCGUACAA
Molecule: ribosomal RNA, 586 nt
Filed under: uncultured bacterium
Lineage: Bacteria
Description: bacterial SSU rRNA
Rfam family: Bacterial small subunit ribosomal RNA
Source: RNAcentral